RNAcentral lists this ribosomal RNA (356 nucleotides) under Bryobia sarothamni. Its description in RNAcentral is "eukaryotic LSU rRNA". It matches the Rfam family "Eukaryotic large subunit ribosomal RNA", at positions 42 to 370 of the family's 3401-position model. Lineage: Eukaryota; Metazoa; Arthropoda; Arachnida; Trombidiformes; Tetranychidae. The record is from RNAcentral.
AUAAUUCAGCGGUGGAAAAGAAAUCAAACGAGAUUCCCUUAGUAACGGCGAGUGAAAAGGGAAAUGUCCGGCGCAAAGGUUCUCCAUCGAAAGGUGGAGAGCGGUGCUGCGUAAUGGUGAAAGUCACGAUUGAUUUCAGUCAGAUCUGCAAGUCCCUUUGAAAGGGGCUCUCUACCCAGAGACGGUGCAAGGCCGGUAGCAGAAUCUGGAAUGCUGAGAUAUCGAUUAUUGGCUUUCGCCGCGGAUAGAGUCAUAUUGCUUGAGAAUGCAAUACAAAGUAGGAGGUAAACUCCUCCUAAGACUAAAUACGAUGGCAAUACCGAUAGCAAACAAGUACCGUGAGGGAAAGUUGCAAA